GACGAACGCUGGCAGCGUGCUUAACACAUGCAAGUCGAACGGUGAACGAGGGAGCUUGCUCCCUCCGGAUCAGUGGCGAACGGGUGAGUAACACGUGAGCAAUCUGCCCCGAACUCUGGGAUAAGCGUUGGAAACGACGUCUAAUACCGGAUACGACGCGGGAGGGCAUCCUCUCCGCGUGGAAAGAACUUCGGUUCGGGAUGAGCUCGCGGCCUAUCAGCUUGUUGGUGAGGUAACGGCUCACCAAGGCGACGACGGGUAGCCGGCCUGAGAGGGUGACCGGCCACACUGGGACUGAGACACGGCCCAGACUCCUACGGGAGGCAGCAGUGGAGAAUAUUGCACAAUGGGCGCAAGCCUGAUGCAGCAACGCCGCGUGAGGGACGACGGCCUUCGGGUUGUAAACCUCUUUUAGCAGGGAAGAAGCGAAAGUGACGGUACCUGCAGAAAAAGCACCGGCUAACUACGUG
Molecule: ribosomal RNA, 470 nt
Filed under: uncultured bacterium
Lineage: Bacteria
Description: partial 16S ribosomal RNA
Rfam family: Bacterial small subunit ribosomal RNA
Source: RNAcentral